ACAGUACAAACUGAGCAGGCGAUGCCUUUCGGAAUCGAAAAUAUUUAUUCGAAGGCAUGGGGCCGGGCCGCAGGAAGUGGCAGCGGAUAUGGAAUGUGACUUUGCUUUCAGACAUAUCUGCGGGACAGU
RNAcentral lists this non-coding RNA (129 nucleotides) under Blautia schinkii. Its description in RNAcentral is "NiCo riboswitch". It matches the Rfam family "NiCo (Nickel/Cobalt) riboswitch aptamer". Lineage: Bacteria; Bacillati; Bacillota; Clostridia; Lachnospirales; Lachnospiraceae. The record is from RNAcentral.